GAUGAACGCUGGCGGCGUGCCUAAUACAUGCAAGUCGUGCGAACGGACGAGAAGCUUGCUUCUCUGAUGUUAGCGGCGGACGGGUGAGUAACACGUGGAUAACCUACCUAUAAGACUGGGAUAACUUCGGGAAACCGGAGCUAAUACCGGAUGAUAUUUUGAACCGCAUGGUUCAAAAGUGAAAGACGGUCUUGCUGUCACUUAUAGAUGGAUCCGCGCUGCAUUAGCUAGUUGGUAAGGUAACGGCUUACCAAGGCAACGAUGCAUAGCCGACCUGAGAGGGUGAUCGGCCACACUGGAACUGAGACACGGUCCAGACUCCUACGGGAGGCAGCAGUAGGGAAUCUUCCGCAAUGGGCGAAAGCCUGACGGAGCAACGCCGCGUGAGUGAUGAAGGUCUUCGGAUCGUAAAACUCUGUUAUUAGGGAAGAACAUAUGUGUAAGUAACUGUGCACAUCUCGACGGUACCUAAUCAGAAAGCCACGGCUAACUACGUG
RNAcentral lists this ribosomal RNA (497 nucleotides) under uncultured bacterium. RNAcentral describes it as "partial 16S ribosomal RNA". It matches the Rfam family "Bacterial small subunit ribosomal RNA", at positions 28 to 507 of the family's 1533-position model. The record is from RNAcentral.